This 252-nucleotide ribosomal RNA is filed under the name uncultured bacterium. Its description in RNAcentral is "partial 16S ribosomal RNA". It matches the Rfam family "Bacterial small subunit ribosomal RNA", at positions 524 to 776 of the family's 1533-position model. The record is from RNAcentral.
UACGAGGGGGCUAGUGUUGUUCGGAAUCACUGGGCGUAAAGGGAGCGUAGGCGGGAGCCUAAGUUGGGUGUUUAAUUCCGGGGCCCAACCCCGGGCGUGCACUCAAAACUGGGUUUCUUGAAUAGGGGAGAGGUCGGUGGAAUUGGAGGUGUAGCGGUGGAAUGCGUAGAGAUCUCCAAGAACACCCGUUGCGAAGGCGGCCGACUGGACCCAUAUUGACGCUGAGGCUCGAAAGCAUGGGGAGCAAACAGG